Molecule: ribosomal RNA, 372 nt
Filed under: uncultured bacterium
Lineage: Bacteria
Description: partial 16S rRNA
Rfam family: Bacterial small subunit ribosomal RNA
Source: RNAcentral
AUACGGAGGAUCCGAGCGUUAUCCUUAUUUAUUUUUUUUAAAUUUAUCUUAUUCUUAUUUUUAAUUCAUUUUUUAAAUUUUAAUUCUCAACCUUGAAAUUUCAUUUUAUACUUUACUUCUUUAUUUCAUUAAAUUUUUUCUUAAUUCUUUUUUUAUCUUUUAAAUUCUUAUAUAUCACUAAGAACUCCAAUUUGGAAGGCAGCUCACAGGACUGUAAAUGACGCUGAUGCUCGAAAGUGUGGGUAUAAAAAAGGAUUAGAUACAAUGGUAGUCCACAAAGUAAAAGAUGAAUAAUCGCUGUUUGCGAUAUACAGUAAGCGGCAAAGCGAAAGCGUUAAGUAUUCCACCUGGGGAGUACGCCGGCAACGGUGA